UGUUCAUAUCAGUUCAUCAUUAAUCUCGAAUUUGCAUAAUGGUUUUUAAUUCGUAUGUAUUGGUGUGAACUUAAGUGAAUAAUAAUUAUUGGUAGUUGAUUCAUAGAGCAUAUUGGUAGUGGAGAUAUUGCUUACUGUUUGAAAUUCGAUUUUAUAUGCUCAACCAGAUUAUAUGUUUUGUAUGUUAUCUGAGAAAUCUCUGCUUCUGUUUUGGUGUCAAGUUUCAUAUCUCUUUAGAAAGCCUGAGGUUUCAGAUAUAGUAAUUUUCAAGGCAUCUCCAAUGUUGCAGAAUUGUGGCCAAGGCUGCAGAUUAUGUUCAGGUACAUGAUGAGAAAUUGUUGGUGAAUGGUGAAAUUCAAAAUGAAAAUUACAUAUUGGAGCCUUUUACCUAUGAAAUGGAACCAAUUAAGGCUAUAUCUUUGUGAUGGGGGACAACUGCAACAACAAUUUUGACUCUCAUGACUGGCUGUUCACUACAGUGCACAAAACAAGUCUGUUUCAGAAUUUAAAAGCACAUUACUAAUACAACUCAGAGGUCAAUCUCCACAUCACAUUGAUUGACAACUUCCACAUUGCAAAGUAUUAAUUGUGUUAGCUACAAAACUACAUUCCUUUGCUUAAGCAAUUCUGCAAAACAAGCACUAUGGAGAAACUGGAAGUUAAUACAAAAACCAGAAUUGAAGGACGGUUGAGAUAUCUCAAAAGCCAGAAAGAGAAACUCAAAUCUUGCAUUAUAUAUGAUUGAUCUUAAGUGCUUUGUAAACUCGAAACAAUUUUAGU
Rosa chinensis is the source of this 780-nucleotide RNA transcript. It is a transcript of the gene named probable thylakoidal processing peptidase 2, chloroplastic, with no coding region annotated. The record is from RefSeq and is a predicted model, not a curated record. Lineage: Eukaryota; Viridiplantae; Streptophyta; Magnoliopsida; Rosales; Rosaceae. The transcript is spliced from 7 exons.